GAUGAACGCUGGCGGCGUGCCUAAUACAUGCAAGUCGAGCGAACAGACGAGGAGCUUGCUCCUCUGACGUUAGCGGCGGACGGGUGAGUAACACGUGGAUAACCUACCUAUAAGACUGGGAUAACUUCGGGAAACCGGAGCUAAUACCGGAUAAUAUAUUGAACCGCAUGGUUCAAUAGUGAAAGACGGUUUUGCUGUCACUUAUAGAUGGAUCCGCGCCGCAUUAGCUAGUUGGUAAGGUAACGGCUUACCAAGGCAACGAUGCGUAGCCGACCUGAGAGGGUGAUCGGCCACACUGGAACUGAGACACGGUCCAGACUCCUACGGGAGGCAGCAGUAGGGAAUCUUCCGCAAUGGGCGAAAGCCUGACGGAGCAACGCCGCGUGAGUGAUGAAGGUCUUCGGAUCGUAAAACUCUGUUAUUAGGGAAGAACAAAUGUGUAAGUAACUAUGCACGUCUUGACGGUACCUAAUCAGAAAGGCACGGCUAACUACGUG
RNAcentral lists this ribosomal RNA (497 nucleotides) under uncultured bacterium. Its description in RNAcentral is "partial 16S ribosomal RNA". It matches the Rfam family "Bacterial small subunit ribosomal RNA", at positions 28 to 507 of the family's 1533-position model. The record is from RNAcentral.